This 2313-nucleotide long non-coding RNA is filed under the name Homo sapiens (human). RNAcentral's name for it is "non-protein coding LINC00667:4". The record is from RNAcentral. Lineage: Eukaryota; Metazoa; Chordata; Mammalia; Primates; Hominidae.
GGCUUUUGAAACUGUUAUAACACAACUUAUAACAUUGGAAAUACAUUAUUUUAUUAAUACAAAGUAGUUUUCAUAGUAAAAUACCAAAUUAAUUAAAAGGCAGAAUGAAACGUACCAUAUACAUGUAGACGACAAAUGAAAACUGUCAAAGUAUCCUUCUCUCUAAAAAGCCACAAAUUACGUUCUUUGAAGUAAGUAUUGGGUUUUAUUUCCUAAACUAUACACAUCAAUAUCACCUCCUGAAGCUUUUUACCCAGUUUCACGGUUGGUAUUUCGGACAUGCAAUGUUCCAUGCUGUCAAACUUGGAAUGCCUCGUUUGGAUACAGGGAGACAAAGACUUGGAGACCCAGAAGCCUGAAAGUGGUUCUUGACCGACUUUGUCCACUCAAAUUAAGGCAUCAUGCAGCUGGUCAUCACUUACAUUGCUGGUUGCACGCAGGCACACACACACCAGUGCUCACAGCCAGCACUUGUUAAGAAUGGUUGAGCUGGACCAAAUGGUAUACGUGUCUUUCAUCAAUAUAAACAUGGACUGCAUUCAUCUGGACACGGGCCUUUCCCGCCUACCGAGCCUGCCCACCACCCGAAGUUUAAGCUCAUCUUGGAGGACCUGACACUCAGGAAGCCGUCUCCCGUUGUUCCACCGGCUUUGUGGCCCCAAUGUCUGUAUAAGCUGCUGAUUUGCCUUGGGAAAACAAACCAGCAUCGAUUUCAGAGAAAUUACUGGAUAAUUUGCGCUGUGAGGCGCCUAGAUCGCAAGGCGCACUCCGCAAAUGACAGCCGCUCCCGUGCACUUGUCCAGUCAUUCGGGUGGCAUACUGUCCGGGUGGAAGCCCGCCAAAAUAAUCCAUUUGGAAGGGACGGAGGGCUUCGUCAGAAAUUGCCUUCUUGUAGCUAUGAGACAUUGAGCAAAACAGAUAAGAACUGGGGCAAUGGAGGCAUAAACAUUAAGGCUAGGAUGUAUUUUUGGGGAGAAAGCGGCGGCUAGCAGGGACGAAGCUCAACUUCAUGCGCCGCGCCCCGGAAUGCUUUGCCUUUAGCCACUAGCGGAGCCGCCCGCCUGAGGGAGCCCUCCGGGAGUGAGCGCACGCAACCGUGCAGUCAGAUUCCUCCGCCGACCGCGGCCCUCUCUCCUCGGGCUUUGCCUUCGCUCUCUAGCUUUUCUUCUUUCACUCCCGCUCGCCGACUCCAGCCCGCUGGGCUCACGCUCUGCCGGACACCAAUCCCGGCGGCCCUGCCCGACGGAGCUCAAGGCUAGGCCUGGCCUUGUCCGCGGAGUCCGCCCCUCGCCGCCACCGGGAUCCGCCCCCGCGCCGACACGCACUUCCGGCAGCGCCGCGGCCGGGAGGGACCGAGCGGGGAGCAAGGCCUGCGGGGAGGCGCAGGAUGGACGCGUUGGCUGUCAUGAUGUAGGACCUCCUGACCUAGAACCAUGCCCGGCGCAGGGAGAACAACGAGCUUACGGACCGGGUGCGGGGGCUGCUGUGCGAGAAAGCCUACCUGCUGGCCCGGGAGCGUUCGCCGGCCCACCUGGUGGCUUUCCCUGGACGUUUAACGGCGACUCCGCCCGGCCUCCCGACUUUUUGAUGCAGGCGUUCUCUUACAUGACUUUCUUCGAGGCUAGAUUCUCGAAAGACAUCCUGAAGGUGGCUUUCUUAAUUAGCUGCCUCACCGGCUGGCGGAGCAGUUCGUAGUCGCCUACAUCGAGAGGGAGAGCCCCGUCCUGGCUCAGUACUGGGGCUUCGUGGACGCGCUGUAGCGGGUCUUCGCCGUCGUGGGUAGGAAACAGUCGGGCCGGAUCCCCGGUGUCUGGGGAGCGGCUGCCGGCCGGGCCCGCGCGAGCCGCUUCACUCCUACAAGCCCGGCUCACUAGUUCCAAGCUGCUGGACUUUGACCCUCGCUGGGAAGCUUGAUCGCCGCCUGUUCUCGCCAAUCUCUAUGCCUUUGCACUGCCCAGCAACCCGGUCACUGCCCAGGACCUGUUAAAAGUUGAAUGGACCUCCCAGAAUCACGCCGCUGCCACCGCCGUUUCUAGAGACGGCUUUUGGCCACCUUUGAGAAUCAGGGUCAAACUUGGAAGGGCCUGCAUUUGUCACACUUCCUCGGACACUAAUUUGGAUAGUUCAGGCCCAGAGACGGCUUCCCGGAACCUUCUGGAUUUCAGCUUUGGCAAGCUUCCUCUGUUUCUGAGACACCUCCAUCACCUGGGUUACAAUCCCAUCCAUGAUUUUCCCCAUCUCCAGGCAUUUUUCAUGGAAAGCUCCUCAUGCUUUUUAAUUCCAGUUUAUCCAUUUGUGUGGCUUUAACCUCCA